This 253-nucleotide ribosomal RNA is filed under the name uncultured bacterium. RNAcentral's name for it is "partial 16S ribosomal RNA". It matches the Rfam family "Bacterial small subunit ribosomal RNA", at positions 524 to 776 of the family's 1533-position model. The record is from RNAcentral.
UACGUAGGGCGCAAGCGUUGUCCGGAAUUAUUGGGCGUAAAGAGCUCGUAGGCGGCUCGUCGCGUCGAGUGUGAAAGCUCACGGCUUAACCGUGGGUCUGCAUCCGAUACGGGCGGGCUAGAGGCAGGUAGGGGAGAACGGAAUUCCCGGUGUAGCGGUGAAAUGCGCAGAUAUCGGGAGGAACACCGGUGGCGAAGGCGGUUCUCUGGGCCUGUACUGACGCUGAGGAGCGAAAGCGUGGGGAGCGAACAGG